UGGGGAAUAUUGCACAAUGGGCGCAAGCCUGAUGCAGCCAUGCCGCGUGUGUGAAGAAGGCCUUCGGGUUGUAAAGCACUUUCAGCGAGGAGGAAGGUGGUGAGCUUAAUACGCUCAUCAAUUGACGUUACUCGCAGAAGAAGCACCGGCUAACUCCGUGCCAGCAGCCGCGGUAAUACGGAGGAUGCAAGCGUUAAUCGGAAUUACUGGGCGUAAAGCGCACGCAGGCGGUUUGUUAAGUCAGAUGUGAAAUCCCCGGGCUCAACCUGGGAACUGCAUUUGAAACUGGCAAGCUAGAGUCUCGUAGAGGGGGGUAGAAUUCCAGGUGUAGCGGUGAAAUGCGUAGAGAUCUGGAGGAAUACCGGUGGCGAAGGCGGCCCCCUGGACGAAGACUGACGCUCAGGUGCGAAAGCGUGGGGCAGCAAACAGGAUUAGAUACCCUGGUAGUCCACGCUGUAAACGAUGUCGAUUUUGGAGGUUGUGCCCUUGAGGCGUGGCUUCCGGGGCUAACGCGUUAAA
This 519-nucleotide ribosomal RNA is filed under the name uncultured bacterium. RNAcentral's name for it is "partial 16S ribosomal RNA". It matches the Rfam family "Bacterial small subunit ribosomal RNA", at positions 355 to 864 of the family's 1533-position model. The record is from RNAcentral.